UACGGAGGGGGCUAGCGUUAUUCGGAAUUACUGGGCGUAAAGCGCACGUAGGCGGAUUGGAAAGUCAGAGGUGAAAUCCCAGAGCUCAACUUUGGAACUGCCUUUGAAACUCUCAGUCUUGAGGUCGAGAGAGGUGAGUGGAAUUCCGAGUGUAGAGGUGAAAUUCGUAGAUAUGCGGAGGAACACCAGUGGCGAAGGCGGCCUCCUGGACUGACACUGACGCUGAGGUGCGAAAGCGUGGGGAGCAAACAGG
RNAcentral lists this ribosomal RNA (253 nucleotides) under uncultured bacterium. Its description in RNAcentral is "partial 16S ribosomal RNA". It matches the Rfam family "Bacterial small subunit ribosomal RNA", at positions 524 to 776 of the family's 1533-position model. The record is from RNAcentral.